Molecule: long non-coding RNA, 464 nt
Organism: Lucilia cuprina (Australian sheep blowfly)
Lineage: Eukaryota; Metazoa; Arthropoda; Insecta; Diptera; Calliphoridae
Exons: 3
Source: RefSeq, a predicted model, not a curated record
UGUAAAAGUAAAUAAUUCAUACAAAAGUGUAAAAAUCAAAUGGCAAAUAAAAUCGAAUGUACAAUAUGUCAUAAAAGUGUAAAUAAUGUCAAAAAAAGCGUAAAUAAUCAAUAAAUUUCGGUGUAAAUCAUCUUCUAACAGAAAGCAGUUUGGCUGGUUUUGUUAAGAUUUACUUACCACCAGCCAUUGAGGAUGUAAAGGGUUUGCUUUGGAAGAUGUAGUGUAAAUAGAAAAAAAAAAUAAAGUGAAAUAAAUAAAAUAAAAUUUUAACAUGCAAAAACGACAGAGUAGAGCAACAGAAUAUGGUAGUAGUCGUAGCAGAAAGAAAGAAGCUGCUGUUUGCUGAAUAGUCAAGUGGAAUUCCAAUGUCAUGGUUCAGUUUUGAAGUUUGAAGAUUAAAUAAAGCAAAAUUUGGCCGUCUUAAAGAAUUGACAUUAAACGCAGGACCUUUUAAGGUAAAGUUU